This 42-nucleotide small nuclear RNA is filed under the name Cervus elaphus hippelaphus. It matches the Rfam family "U2 spliceosomal RNA", at positions 1 to 42 of the family's 192-position model. Rfam says of the family: U2 is a small nuclear RNA (snRNA) component of the spliceosome (involved in pre-mRNA splicing). Complementary binding between U2 snRNA (in an area lying towards the 5' end but 3' to hairpin I) and the branchpoint sequence (BPS) of the intron results the bulging out of an unpaired adenosine, on the BPS, which initiates a nucleophilic attack at the intronic 5' splice site, thus starting the first of two transesterification reactions that mediate splicing. Lineage: Eukaryota; Metazoa; Chordata; Mammalia; Artiodactyla; Cervidae. The record is from RNAcentral.
AUCGCUUCUCAGCCUUUUGGCUAAGAUCAAGUGUAGUAUCUG